UACAGUUCAGGGGUUCCGCAAGAAGUUACAAAACUGCUAAAAUUGGCAGUAAUUUUUAAUUCUCCUGUGCAGAUAUGUGUGCAUAAGACUAUUAAAUUAUUGCACAGGGGUUCCUCGAGCCAGUGGAAUGUCUCCUUGGGCUUCCGCUCCAGCAAAACAUUUGAAAAGCACUGGAUUAGAGUGUUGGAAAAACACAGAGA
Molecule: long non-coding RNA, 200 nt
Organism: Octopus sinensis (East Asian common octopus)
Lineage: Eukaryota; Metazoa; Mollusca; Cephalopoda; Octopoda; Octopodidae
Exons: 3
Source: RefSeq, a predicted model, not a curated record